AAUCUUAUAUUUUAUAUAAAAUAUUAAAUUGCAAAUUUAAAGAUGAUUUUUCUAAGAUUU
RNAcentral lists this transfer RNA (60 nucleotides) under Ixodes hexagonus (hedgehog tick). RNAcentral describes it as "tRNA-Cys". The record is from RNAcentral. Lineage: Eukaryota; Metazoa; Arthropoda; Arachnida; Ixodida; Ixodidae.